GAUGAACGCUAGCGGCAGGCCUAACACAUGCAAGUCGAGGGGCAGCACGUCUUCGGAUGGUGGCGACCGGCGCACGGGUGCGUAACGCGUAUGCAACCUACCUCUUACAGUGGGAUAGCCCAGAGAAAUUUGGAUUAAUACCGCAUAGUAUACAGAUUCAGCAUUGGGACUGUAUUAAACAUUUAUGGGUAAGAGAUGGGCAUGCGUUCUAUUAGUUAGUUGGAGUGGUAACGGCACCCCAAGACAGCGAUAGAUAGGGGCCCUGAGAGGGGGAUCCCCCACACUGGUACUGAGACACGGACCAGACUCCUACGGGAGGCAGCAGUGAGGAAUAUUGGACAAUGGGCGAGAGCCUGAU
This 358-nucleotide ribosomal RNA is filed under the name uncultured bacterium. RNAcentral describes it as "bacterial SSU rRNA". It matches the Rfam family "Bacterial small subunit ribosomal RNA", at positions 28 to 387 of the family's 1533-position model. The record is from RNAcentral.